AUACAGAGGGUGCGAGCGUUAAUCGGAAUUACUGGGCGUAAAGCGCGCGUAGGCGGCUUAUUAAGUCAGAUGUGAAAUCCCCGGGCUCAACCUGGGAACUGCAUCUGAUACUGGUAGGCUUGAGUUUUGGAGAGGGAAGUAGAAUUUCAGGUGUAGCGGUGAAAUGCAUAGAGAUCUGAAGGAAUACCAGUGGCGAAGGCGACUUCCUGGCCAAAAACUGACGCUGAGGUGCGAAAGCGUGGGUAGCAAACGGGAUUAGAAACCCCAGUAGUCC
Molecule: ribosomal RNA, 274 nt
Filed under: uncultured bacterium
Lineage: Bacteria
Description: partial 16S ribosomal RNA
Rfam family: Bacterial small subunit ribosomal RNA
Source: RNAcentral